RNAcentral lists this ribosomal RNA (515 nucleotides) under uncultured bacterium. RNAcentral describes it as "partial 16S ribosomal RNA". It matches the Rfam family "Bacterial small subunit ribosomal RNA", at positions 28 to 523 of the family's 1533-position model. The record is from RNAcentral.
GAUGAACGCUGGCGGCGUGCCUAAUACAUGCAAGUCGAGCGAAUGGAUUAAGAGCUUGCUCUUAUGAAGUUAGCGGCGGACGGGUGAGUAACACGUGGGUAACCUGCCCAUAAGACUGGGAUAACUCCGGGAAACCGGGGCUAAUACCGGAUAACAUUUUGAACCGCAUGGUUCGAAAUUGAAAGGCGGCUUCGGCUGUCACUUAUGGAUGGACCCGCGUCGCAUUAGCUAGUUGGUGAGGUAACGGCUCACCAAGGCAACGAUGUGUAGCCGACCUGAGAGGGUGAUCGGCCACACUGGGACUGAGACACGGGCCAGACUCCUACGGGAGGCAGCAGUAGGGAAUCUUCCGCAACGGACGAAAGUCUGACGGAGCAACGCCGCGUGAGUGAUGAAGGCUUUCGGGUCGUAAAACUCUGUUGUUAGGGAAGAACAAGUGCUAGUUGAAUAAGCUGGCACCUUGACGGUACCUAACCAGAAAGCCACGGCUAACUACGUGCCAGCCGCCGCAGUAA